Long non-coding RNA from Gracilinanus agilis (Agile Gracile Mouse Opossum), 409 nucleotides. RefSeq lists it as uncharacterized. The record is from RefSeq and is a predicted model, not a curated record. The transcript is spliced from 2 exons. NCBI's taxonomy places the organism in Eukaryota, Metazoa, Chordata, Mammalia, Didelphimorphia, Didelphidae.
UUACUUCAAAAUCUGGGCCUUCCUGGACGUCAAGUUUGUGGAGAGAAUCCUGCAGAGUCAGGAGGAGGGCAAGUGCAUGCUUCGCACCCUCAAGGUGAGAAUUUAUACAAACAGAUAUGAGACAAAUGAAGAGGACAGAAUGUUGCGGGACAUUUACCGAAAGUACAGAGACCUGAUCGAUACAGAGUUUAACUAUUUUGUCAUCGCCUACCCCAUGAUGUGAGGAGCACACCCAGGAGAGAGCAGCCUCGCUGGCCUCGGGGCUCCUGAGCCCCAUCCUCCACAGAGCUGCCCCUGAGCCUUCCUCAGGGCCCGGCCCUCCCUUCAGCCAGAGCGCAAUCCUGAGUGUGUGGGGCCAGGCGCUCUCCCAGCCUCCCAAGUCCCUUUAAAUGCUGUCUUUACAACAGCC